CAGAGGGUGCGAGCGUUAAUCGGAAUUACUGGGCGUAAAGCGUGCGUAGACGGCUAUCUAAGUCGGGUGUGAAAGCCCCGGGCUCAACCUGGGAAUUGCAUUCGAGACUGAAUAGCUAGGGUACGGUAGAGGGAAGUGGAAUUUCCGGUGUAGCGGUGAAAUGCGUAGAUAUCGGAAGGAACAUCAGUGGCGAAAGCGACUUCCUGGACCAGUACCGACGUUCAGGCACGAAAGCGUGGGGAGCAAACAGGAUUAGAUACCCUGGUAGUCCACGCCAUAAACGAUGAGGACUAGACGUUGGAGGGGUAAGCCUUUCAGUGUCGUAGCUAACGCGCUAAGUCCUCCGCCUGGGGAGUACGGCCGCAAGGUUG
Molecule: ribosomal RNA, 371 nt
Filed under: uncultured organism
Description: bacterial SSU rRNA
Rfam family: Bacterial small subunit ribosomal RNA
Source: RNAcentral